AACGAACGCUGGCGGCAUGCCUAACACAUGCAAGUCGAACGAGACCUUCGGGUCUAGUGGCGCACGGGUGCGUAACGCGUGGGAAUCUGCCCUUGGGUUCGGAAUAACAGUUGGAAACGACUGCUAAUACCGGAUGAUGACGUAAGUCCAAAGAUUUAUCGCCCAAGGAUGAGCCCGCGUAGGAUUAGCUAGUUGGUGAGGUAAAGGCUCACCAAGGCGACGAUCCUUAGCUGGUCUGAGGGGAUGAUCAGCCACACUGGGACUGAGACACGGCCCAGACUCCUACGGGAGGCAGCAGUGGGGAAUAUUGGACAAUGGGCGAAAGCCUGAUCCAGCAAUGCCGCGUGAGUGAUGAAGGCCUUAGGGUUGUAAAGCUCUUUUAACCGGGAUGAUAAUGACAGUACCGGGAGAAUAAGCGCCGGCUAACUCCGUG
This 433-nucleotide ribosomal RNA is filed under the name uncultured bacterium. RNAcentral describes it as "partial 16S ribosomal RNA". It matches the Rfam family "Bacterial small subunit ribosomal RNA", at positions 29 to 507 of the family's 1533-position model. The record is from RNAcentral.